RNAcentral lists this transfer RNA (83 nucleotides) under Eimeria falciformis. Its description in RNAcentral is "tRNA-Ser". It matches the Rfam family "tRNA". Rfam says of the family: Transfer RNA (tRNA) molecules are approximately 80 nucleotides in length. Their secondary structure includes four short double-helical elements and three loops (D, anti-codon, and T loops). RNAcentral also lists the same sequence under 2 other names. Lineage: Eukaryota; Apicomplexa; Conoidasida; Eucoccidiorida; Eimeriidae. The record is from RNAcentral.
AGAGAUGACUGAGUGGUCUAAAGUAUCAAAUUGCUAAUUUGACAUAUUAUAUAUAUACAAGGGUUCAAAUCCCUUUCUCUCUU